Molecule: unclassified non-coding RNA, 153 nt
Filed under: soil metagenome
Description: partial internal transcribed spacer 1
Source: RNAcentral
CCGAGUUAUACAACUCCUCAAACCCCUGUGAACAUACCUAACUGUUGCCUCGGCGGGAAUCAGCCCGGCCCCGUAAAACGGGCCGCCCCCGCCAGAGGACCCCUAACUCUGUUUCUUAUAAUGUACUUUCUGAGUAAACAAGCAAAUAAAUUA